This is a non-coding RNA of Caenorhabditis elegans, 21 nucleotides long. NCBI's taxonomy places the organism in Eukaryota, Metazoa, Nematoda, Chromadorea, Rhabditida, Rhabditidae. The record is from Ensembl.
UGACUCGUAUUGGACUAAAAA